This 2212-nucleotide long non-coding RNA is filed under the name Neodiprion pinetum (white pine sawfly). RNAcentral describes it as "uncharacterized LOC124220215, transcript variant X1". Lineage: Eukaryota; Metazoa; Arthropoda; Insecta; Hymenoptera; Diprionidae. The record is from RNAcentral.
AACCGCCUGGCAGCGCUACCACUGCGGGCUCCGUCAGCGCGGUGAUUGUGAAUCGUCGAUCCUCACGUAUAGUAUGCAUCCUAUUCGUAACCAGGCGCUGGUAUCGCUUGCGGAUAGAUCCCGAACUACAAAAUCUUUUAUCGCUUUCACAAACCACUUUUCGACGAUUCCGCCAUAUGCGUUCGGCCUCCUUACCUCUAGUCUCCAUGCUCCAUGCUUAGAACAGUGCAAGUAGUGAUGGCGAUGGUGAGGCUGUUCUUGCGUUUGUCAAAACCAAGCAUGGGAUAUCUGAUCGCAUCGAAGCUUUGGUUAAAUCUUGAGAUAUUGGAAGGAUUAACUUGAUGUUGACAAGUUCCGCAAAAAGUUAUGCGUCUUCUUGAGAUUCCAGUUAUAAGAUGUGGUAAAUUACCACAUGUUCUACCCAGAAAAUGAUCUGUUUUGCGCAUACGCCAAAAAAGAUAGGUUGAUUGAUAGAAUAGAUGCUCCAGUGGACAAUCUGCAUACUACCAACGCAAUGGUGCGUCUAAAAGUUUGAAGGUGUACAUUUUUGUUUGAUAUUAUGAUCAAGAAUGAAACUGAAUAAGCUCAUUUCCUAAACUUCCUAUACCUGCUAAUGCUAUGUGAAUAUGUUAAUGUUAAUAAUUGAGCUGCGAAUAUGCCUUAUUGUUAAUUAAAACUUCUGAAGUAAUCUGUACUACUUUUGAAUAUGUACGAAAAUAGAAGACAAUUGAAGGAAUACUUCUAAUUUUAUUUAUUUCAAUCUACCUUACUUCAAAUGCUGAUUAUAUUUGUUAAAAUAACUAUCAUGUGUUUCGAUAUGUAUACCCCAUUUAGGACAAUCUACACAUCAUACCAAGUUCUACAAUUUGAUACAUUUCGUAUUGUCCAUUUUCUUAGACACAUUCACGUAAUAUAAUUUUCUCUAAUAAAUCAACAUCUUUUCAACCUACCAAAAUAUCACAGUAUCAGUUAAAUUCAUUUACGAUUUUCAUGAAGGUGAAACUAUCGUUAAUCAUUAGUCAACCACAUAGGCAAGAUAAUGGAGUCUUACAGUUCGGUAAUUUUAUUUAAUUAUUAGCAAAGUUUAAUACCGUCGUUGCGGGGCGGCGACAGGUACUGAUAGGCACAAAACAAAUCUGUGCUAGAUAUAGAUUCGUCACUACCAAAAAUGUUUCCUACAUUGCUAAUAAUUUUGUGAAAACAUGUCCUGUUAAUUACAAUGAUCUAUAAAACAAAGCAUUAAGGUAAUUUUUGAAGAAACAAUGCUAUAUUUAUUUAAAUAAUAAAUACACCUGAUCAAGUAUCGGCGCGUUUUCGAUACUAAUUACUUAAUCUAGUGUACGUAUAAAUACAAAAAAAAUUUAUAUGCAUUUUAAAGAAGAUUGUGUACAAAAUACAAACACGUUUGCUCUAAACAGUGUAUAAAAUUGGGCUUGUAGAUGUAAAUACAAGAUCAUAUGUGUAUGUGUGCGCGUGUGUAUGCAUGUGUAUAUAUACACACACACACACACGUCACUUACGGUAAUUGUGCCAGCUGUUAUAUACCUAUGUAUAAAUGUAUAUACAUGUGUGUAUAUAUAUAUAUAUAUAUGUAUGUAUGUAUAUGUUAACGGUCUUGCAAUGAAAAAGUGCAUAAUUCUCGAUCACUGGGGUAACUCAAUUUAAACCUUUACCUUUAUCACAACAAAAAAAAUUAGACAAUUUUAUUCUUGUCUGUUUACAUUAUUUUUGUAUGUUUCGAAUUAUCUACGCAUAUUUCUUUUACACAUAAGAGUCAUCCUCCCCGCCUUCCUCAAUACAAUAAUUGUGCCAGUGGUAGAAUUUUGUGCGAAAAUAAUUUGAUGCGCUAACAUUUAUAAAAUAUAAAAGGUUGACAAAUAUUUCAUUACAAAUACUUCAACAUCAUCAGAUCUAUUAACAUCCUUAACAUUUUUAGAAUAUUAUAAUAUGUUACCGGUGAUACUAAGAAAGUAUAAAAUGCUUUAUGUCUGGUCAAAUAUACAUUUACAAAUCCAACGCAUUUUUUUCAAAAACUUUUUCUCAGUAUCGUUUGAAAUCAGAACAUUGUGUUCAAUUUAGAGUAUUAAUUUCACUUGAUUGAACGCAGCUGUUAUCACACAGCGCACAAACCAACUUCAAAAAAUCAACAAAAAAAAGAAGAAUUACACAAAAUUUACUGCCGUGACGUGGAAUGGAAAUGGGGAAAAAGAAA